GGAGGCAUAGCUCAGCUGGCUAGAGCGUUCGCCUCACACGCGAGAGGUCGUUGGUUCGAGCCCAACUGUCUCCACCA
This 77-nucleotide transfer RNA is filed under the name Intestinimonas butyriciproducens. Its description in RNAcentral is "tRNA-Val". It matches the Rfam family "tRNA". From Rfam's summary of the family: Transfer RNA (tRNA) molecules are approximately 80 nucleotides in length. Their secondary structure includes four short double-helical elements and three loops (D, anti-codon, and T loops). Further hydrogen bonds mediate the characteristic L-shaped molecular structure. tRNAs have two regions of fundamental functional importance: the anti-codon, which is responsible for specific mRNA codon recognition, and the 3' end, to which the tRNAs corresponding amino acid is attached (by aminoacyl-tRNA synthetases). tRNAs cope with the degeneracy of the genetic code in two manners: having more than one tRNA (with a specific anti-codon) for a particular amino acid; and 'wobble' base-pairing, i.e. permitting non-standard base-pairing at the 3rd anti-codon position. The record is from RNAcentral. Lineage: Bacteria; Bacillati; Bacillota; Clostridia; Eubacteriales. RNAcentral also lists the same sequence under 4 other names.